AACGAACGCUGGCGGCAGGCCUAACACAUGCAAGUCGAAGGAGAAGCCACUUUCGGGUGGUGGAAACUGGCGCACGGGUGAGUAACGCGUGGGAAUCUGCCCCGGGUGGGGGAUAACCGCUGGAAACGGCGGCUAAUACCGCAUACGCCCUACGGGGGAAAGCUCCGGUGCCCUGGGAGGAGCCCGCGUUGGAUUAGCUUGUUGGUGGGGUAACGGCCCACCAAGGCGGCGAUCCAUAGCUGGUCUGAGAGGAUGAUCAGCCACACUGGGACUGAGACACGGCCCAGACUCCUACGGGAGGCAGCAGUGGGGAAUAUUGGACAAUGGGCGCAAGCCUGAUCCAGCCAUGCCGCGUGAGUGAAGAAGGCCUUAGGGUUGUAAAGCUCUUUCACCUGCGAAGAUGAUGACGGUAGCAGGAGAAGAAGCCCCGGCUAACUCCGUG
This 442-nucleotide ribosomal RNA is filed under the name uncultured bacterium. Its description in RNAcentral is "bacterial SSU rRNA". It matches the Rfam family "Bacterial small subunit ribosomal RNA", at positions 29 to 507 of the family's 1533-position model. The record is from RNAcentral.